Long non-coding RNA from Priapulus caudatus, 550 nucleotides. RefSeq lists it as uncharacterized. NCBI's taxonomy places the organism in Eukaryota, Metazoa, Priapulida, Priapulimorpha, Priapulimorphida, Priapulidae. The record is from RefSeq and is a predicted model, not a curated record. The transcript is spliced from 4 exons.
UCUUGUGAAAAUGCCCAACAGAUGUCGCCACUAACGAACGUCUCUUUUCAGCGUUGGAAAUAAAAUUGUCUGCGAUGAAAGGGGCAAAGAAACAAGUACGAUCAUGUUGGAGUUGAUACGACGAUAGUAGCCUAGGGACUAGGAGGGGAUUACAUAUAAUGAUAUAUUAUUGACAUUGUUAUAAUAUAAAUAGACGAGCUCCUUGUAGUGGGAGCGAAAAGAAGCCACAGGCUGCAGGACAAAACGCUGUAAAGUACCACGUACAAACCCAAGUUAGGAAGAGAAUUUCGUCAUGUUAUCAGGGAACCCGAUAAUUGUCAACAUGUCUGUCGAAACAAAAAAUGACGGGAAAGCUUGGACAUGGAUAACAGACAGUCGGGUCGGUGGAGAUAGCUCCGAGUCUGCUCAAUCUAUUCGACGCGCUCGUCUCGAAUGAUCGCGCGAACGUCAAGCUGCGCACCGCCAUGGCAGAGACGACAUCAUCAUCGUCUCGCGACCAUCCGGAACUCGCGGCGAGGGACGACGACGACGCGCUGCACCGGCGAGACGG